AGUGAACGUUGGCGGCGUGCCUAACACAUGCAAGUCGAACGAGAACCGAGUAGCUUGCUACUUGGGGAAAGUGGCGAACGGGUGAGUAACACGUGAGCAAUCUGCCCUCGAGUGAGGAAUAACCCCGCGAAAGCGGGGCUAAUACCGCAUGAUGCUCUGGAACAUAAGUUUUCAGAGUUAAAACCCCUUGGGGUGCUUGAGGAUGAGCUUGCGUCCUAUUAGCUAGUUGGUAGGGUAAUGGCCUACCAAGGUUAUGAUGGGUAGCCGGCCUGAGAGGGUGUCCGGCCACACUGGAACUGGGACACGGUCCAGACUCCUACGGGAGGCAGCAGUGGGGAAUUUUGCGCAAUGGGCGAAAGCCUGACGCAGCGACGCCGCGUGGAGGAUGAAGGCUUUCGGGUUGUAAACUCCUGUCAGAGGUGAAGAAAACCCUCCUUAGGGAGGGCUUGACGGUAACCUCAGAGGAAGCCCCGGCUAACUACGUG
RNAcentral lists this ribosomal RNA (485 nucleotides) under uncultured bacterium. Its description in RNAcentral is "bacterial SSU rRNA". It matches the Rfam family "Bacterial small subunit ribosomal RNA", at positions 29 to 507 of the family's 1533-position model. The record is from RNAcentral.